GCGUGUAUGCGCAUGCCCGGGAAUGGUGAAAAUGGUGUCACCCAGAUAUCGAGCCUCUAGUAUUGGAAUUCCGUUUUCCCCAAUCAACAAUCGCUCACCCGUCCUUUGUCUUCGGCUUCUGUCCACUCCCUGCUUUUACACAGUCCGUGACCAAGCCCCAGGCAGCACCUUCCUCCUGAGGUUUGUCUCAGAUGUGGCUGUUUUUCUCUGCCCCUUACUUCUGAGGGACUGCAUCUUUGACCCGUUCUGCCACUCUGAGGAUGGUCUCACUGAGCAAUGGACGGGUGCUGGCCGCACCCAGGAACAUUUGCGGGACCAUGCUGCUGCCGAAGUCCAGAGACUGCGGCCAGGUGCCAGCCCGCCCCAGAAAAAGUUCGCGAGAUAGUGUAGAAGCAGCGCCUCAGGGAUUAUGUAAAAUCACCACACACAUCUGGCACCAGGCUUUUCCCUUAACGACCUUGUUCCAGCACCCGCAAAUGUAGUUGUUCUCCCGGGUCCACUGGGGCCUUGCCUUUGGGGCACCCACACAGCCGCUACCAGGUGUCCUUCCAGCAGGGGAACCGCCUCUCCCCGUGUGGCCUGAAGAACCCCGGACUCCACUCUGCUCCUGGGGAUUCGCCCUUCCCACUAGAGCACCGCCAGGUUCCGGGUGUCUUCCCAUGUUGAAUUCCGGGCAGGAGGAGCAUCCGGAAAUCACAUCACAUGGGUCACUGCUUCUCCUGCCCCUUCAGGGUGGGCCACGGAGGCCACAAUCCUCGCUGAAUAUCCAUUUGCACUUUGCCCUUGUAGAAGGAGUGGAAAGUCGGAAUCAGUGAGAAAAUUCCUGCUUAGCAGAGGGAGCCUUCCAUGAAACUGCACUGCUAACUUGGGCUAAAAACGAGGUAAUUUCCCUGAAACAUAAGUUUGUCACAUCUGCUGAAUUGUUCCGGGGGCCGCAUCUCAGAUUGCUUCUGUACCUU
Molecule: long non-coding RNA, 959 nt
Organism: Acinonyx jubatus (cheetah)
Lineage: Eukaryota; Metazoa; Chordata; Mammalia; Carnivora; Felidae
Exons: 3
Source: RefSeq, a predicted model, not a curated record